GAUGCACGCUGGCGGCGUGCCUAAUACAUGCAAGUCGAGCGAACAGACGAGAGUGCUUGCCCUCUCUGACGUUAGCGGCGGACGGGUGAGUAACACGUGGGUAACCUACCUAUAAGACUGGGAUAACUUCGGGAAACCGGAGCUAAUACCGGAUAAUAUUUAGCUUCGCAUGAAGCAAUAGUGAAAGACGGUUCUGCUGUCACUUAUAGAUGGACCCGCGGUGUAUUAGCUAGUUGGUGAGGUAACGGCUCACCAAGGCAACGAUACAUAGCCGACCUGAGAGGGUGAUCGGCCACACUGGGACUGAGACACGGCCCAGACUCCUACGGGAGGCAGCAGUAGGGAAUCUUCCGCAAUGGACGAAAGUCUGACGGAGCAAUGCCGCGUGAGUGAAGAAGGUUUUCGGAUCGUAAAACUCUGUUGUAAGGGAAGAACAAGUACGUUAGUAACUGAACGUACCUUGACGGUACCUUACCAGAAAGCCACGGCUAACUACGUG
This 499-nucleotide ribosomal RNA is filed under the name uncultured bacterium. Its description in RNAcentral is "partial 16S ribosomal RNA". It matches the Rfam family "Bacterial small subunit ribosomal RNA", at positions 28 to 507 of the family's 1533-position model. The record is from RNAcentral.